UGGGGUGUCCCCCUCUAUGUGUCCAGUGACUAUCGGGGACCCCCACCCCCUGAAUCCCCCCAUGGUGUCCAGUUAUGAGUAUUGGGGUCCCCCCGAAGCCCCCAGCAGGGUUUGGGGGCUCAGCCAUCCUCUCCCGCAGUCAUGGACCUGAGCUCGGAUGAGGAUUAUGAUGAUGAUGAGGAGGAAGAAGAGGAAGCACCAGUGCCAGCCCCCAAGAGGCCCCCAAAGGGCUCAGGUGCCCAGAAGGGCAGAACAACCAAGGUUAGCACCUGAUGGGGGGGUCUGAAGGGUUUUGGGGUCCCUGUGGCACGGGGGGGACCCCAAAUUCCUCUCUGCUAUGGGGAUGAGCCAUGACCUUCAUCCCUCGGGCGGAAGACUCCUCAUCCUCCCUCUCUUUCUCUCUCCCGUAGAAAAGGAAGUGGGAAAAGGAGGAGGAGCCGAACAGCCUCGUCCCUGCACGUGCCCCCCCAGCCAAGGGACGCGGAGCCGGCCGGGGCAGGAAAAGAGCAGCAAAAAAAUGAUGGAAUUGGGGAAUUCUGGGAAUUCCAUCCAGGUGAGGAUUGGGGGGUGUCCCUGGAAUGGCUCUGACCCCACAGCGGGCUCACCCCACUAAAAACCCUUUUCCUCUUCCCCUCCAGGUGCCUGGAAGCAGCAGCUGGUGGUGGUGGUGGUGUGGUUCCCUAUUAAAUAAAGCACAUUUUGCACUCCUGGAUCCCUGUGCU
Molecule: long non-coding RNA, 722 nt
Filed under: Junco hyemalis (dark-eyed junco)
Lineage: Eukaryota; Metazoa; Chordata; Aves; Passeriformes; Passerellidae
Description: lncRNA (ENSJHYG00000001420.1)
Source: RNAcentral